Molecule: transfer-messenger RNA, 326 nt
Filed under: Mycoplasmatota bacterium
Lineage: Bacteria; Bacillati; Mycoplasmatota
Description: Tenericutes bacterium transfer-messenger RNA
Rfam family: transfer-messenger RNA
About the family: Bacterial tmRNA, also known as 10Sa RNA or SsrA, is named for its dual tRNA and mRNA-like properties. Its role is to liberate the mRNA from a stalled ribosome.
Source: RNAcentral
GGGGAUGUUUUUGGAUUCGACAUCAUUAGAUUUAUAUGUUUGCAGUGGUCUAGUAGACCAUAAGACUAACUUAAAUUUUAAUCGGAAACGAAUUAAACAUUGAUCCUGCAGUAAUGCAGACAACACCUGUUGCCUACGCAGCUGCCUAAAUAGAGGAUCUCCAAAUCAGUAAGCUUGAUUAGUGCUUAUUGAAAUUUGGUCGAGAACUAAUCAACCCAACCUUUUAGUGAUAUUUAUUAAAAAUUCACAAACCAAAAAACUUAAACUGUAGAUAAGCUUAUGUUAUUUGAUGAUGCACCCAGGUUCAACUCCUGGCAUCUCCACCA